CUACGGGCCGCUCCAGUGAGGAAUAUUGCACAAUGGGGGGAACCCUGAUGCAGCAACGCCGCGUGGAGGAUGACGCAUUUCGGUGUGUAAACUCCUUUUAUAUGUCAAGAAAAUGACGGUAGCAUAUGAAUAAGCACCGGCUAACUCCGUGCCAGCAGCCGCGGUAAUACGAGAGGGUGGCAAGCGUUACUCGGAAUCACUGGGCGUAAAGGACGCGUAGGCGGGUUGGAAAGUCAGGUGUGAAAUCCUACAGCUUAACUGUAGAACUGCACUUGAAACUUCUAAUCUAGAGUAUGGGAGGGGGAGAUGGAAUUAGUGGUGUAGGGGUAAAAUCCGUAGAUAUCACUAGGAAUACCUAAAGCGAAGGCGAUCUCCUGGAACAUUACUGACGCUAAGGCGUGAAAGCGUGGGGAGCAAACAGGAUUAGAUACCCCAGUAGUC
RNAcentral lists this ribosomal RNA (441 nucleotides) under uncultured bacterium. Its description in RNAcentral is "partial 16S ribosomal RNA". It matches the Rfam family "Bacterial small subunit ribosomal RNA", at positions 339 to 795 of the family's 1533-position model. The record is from RNAcentral.